Molecule: unclassified non-coding RNA, 231 nt
Filed under: Hevea brasiliensis (rubber tree)
Lineage: Eukaryota; Viridiplantae; Streptophyta; Magnoliopsida; Malpighiales; Euphorbiaceae
Source: RNAcentral
AAGAUAUCUCAAAUGCUUCAAAUUGCUUAUACUUGUUGGCAGCACCUCAAAUUCUGAAAGAUCCAAAUCCAAGGCCCUCAAGUAUGGAAUCUUAAGCAGCAUGUAUUAAUGAACUGUUCACUACGAAUCCCCCCACUUUCAUUUAAAACGGAAAUGGUUCGAGCACAUGGUGGGAUUUGUGAUGAUGUAGGAAGAUCCUGAUCAGCAAGUGAUUCAGGAUAAGGAAAAGAU